Long non-coding RNA from Bradysia coprophila, 150 nucleotides. The record is from RefSeq and is a predicted model, not a curated record. Lineage: Eukaryota; Metazoa; Arthropoda; Insecta; Diptera; Sciaridae.
ACAACACUUUUUUGAAUGUUUGACCAUAGCACUGCUACUAGCACGAACACUCAUUCUAUCAACGUCAAAAUAUCAUCCAAAUUUCAAAGAUGUAUGCGUGUAAGAUUGCAUGUGUUGUGCGUCUUUAUUCACCUUAACAAAGCAUGACUC